ACAUGCAAGUCGAGGGGCAGCAUCAUCAAAGCUUGCUUUGAUGGAUGGCGACCGGCGCACGGGUGAGUAACACGUAUCCAACCUGCCGACAACACUGGGAUAGCCUUUCGAAAGAAAGAUUAAUACCGGAUGGCAUAAUUAUUCCGCAUGGGAUAAUUAUUAAAGAAUUUCGGUUGUCGAUGGGGAUGCGUUCCAUUAGGCAGUUGGCGGGGUAACGGCCCACCAAACCUACGAUGGAUAGGGGUUCUGAGAGGAAGGUCCCCCACAUUGGAACUGAGACACGGUCCAAACUCCUACGGGAGGCAGCAGUGAGGAAUAUUGGUCAAUGGACGAGAGUCUGAACCAGCCAAGUAGCGUGAAGGAUGACUGCCCUGUGGGUUGUAAACUUCUUUUAUACGGGAAUAAAGUUAGCCACGUGUGGCUUUUUGUAUGUACCGUAUGAAUAAGGAUCGGCUAACUCCGUGCCAGCAGCCGCGGUAAUACGGAGGAUCCGAGCGUUAUCCGGAUUUAUUGGGUUUAAAGGGAGCGUAGGCGGGUUGUUAAGUCAGUUGUGAAAGUUUGCGGCUCAACCGUAAAAUUGCAGUUGAUACUGGCGACCUUGAGUGCAACAGAGGUAGGCGGAAUUCGUGGUGUAGCGGUGAAAUGCUUAGAUAUCACGAAGAACUCCGAUUGCGAAGGCAGCUUACUGGAUUGUAACUGACGCUGAUGCUCGAAAGUGUGGGUAUCAAACAGGAUUAGAUACCCUGGUAGUCCACACAGUAAACGAUGAAUACUCGCUGUUGG
RNAcentral lists this ribosomal RNA (783 nucleotides) under uncultured bacterium. RNAcentral describes it as "bacterial SSU rRNA". It matches the Rfam family "Bacterial small subunit ribosomal RNA", at positions 53 to 826 of the family's 1533-position model. The record is from RNAcentral.